This 498-nucleotide ribosomal RNA is filed under the name uncultured bacterium. Its description in RNAcentral is "partial 16S ribosomal RNA". It matches the Rfam family "Bacterial small subunit ribosomal RNA", at positions 30 to 523 of the family's 1533-position model. The record is from RNAcentral.
AUUGAACGCUGGCGGCAUGCCUUACACAUGCAAGUCGAACGGUAACAGGUCUUCGGAUGCUGACGAGUGGCGAACGGGUGGGUAAUACAUCGGAACGUGCCUAGUAGUGGGGGAUAACUACUCGAAAGAGUGGCUAAUACCGCAUGAGAUCUACGGAUGAAAGCAGGGGAUCGCAAGACCUUGUGCUACUAAAGCGGCCGAUGGCAGAUUAGGUAGUUGGUGGGAUAAAAGCUUACCAAGCCGACGAUCUGUAGCUGGUCUGAGAGGACGAUCAGCCACACUGGGACUGGGACACGGCCCAGACUCCUACGGGAGGCAGCAGUGGGGAAUUUUGGACAAUGGGCGCAAGCCUGAUCCAGCAAUGCCGCGUGCAGGAUGAAGGCCUUCGGGUUGUAAACUGCUUUUGUACGGAACGAAAAGCCCCGGGUUAAUACCCUGGGGUCAUGACGGUACCGUAAGAAUAAGCACCGGCUAACUACGUGCCAGCCGCCGCGGUAA